CAUGAAGUUGGAGUCACUAGUAAUCGCGGAUCAGCAUGCCGCGGUGAAUGCGUUCUCGGGCCUUGUACACACCGCCCGUCACACCAUGAGAGUCGGGAACACCCGAAGUCCGUAGCCUAACCGCAAGGGGGGCGCGGCCGAAGGUGGGCUCGAUAAUUGGGGUGAAGUCGUAACAAGGUAUC
RNAcentral lists this ribosomal RNA (182 nucleotides) under uncultured bacterium. Its description in RNAcentral is "partial 16S ribosomal RNA". It matches the Rfam family "Bacterial small subunit ribosomal RNA", at positions 1319 to 1500 of the family's 1533-position model. The record is from RNAcentral.